UACGUAGGGGCCGAGCGUUGUCCGGAGUUAUUGGGCGUAAAGCGCGCGCAGGCGGCCUCGCGCGCCCGACGUGAAAGCCCCCGGCUUAACCGGGGAGGGUCGUUGGGGACGGCGGGGCUUGAGGGCGGGAGAGGGCGGUGGAAUUCCAGGUGUAGCGGUGAAAUGCGUAGAUAUCUGGAGGAACACCGGUGGCGAAGGCGGCAUCCUGGACCGGCAUUGACGCUGAGGCGCGAAAGCCAGGGGAGCAAACGGG
Molecule: ribosomal RNA, 253 nt
Filed under: uncultured bacterium
Lineage: Bacteria
Description: partial 16S ribosomal RNA
Rfam family: Bacterial small subunit ribosomal RNA
Source: RNAcentral